This is a long non-coding RNA of Aethalodelphis obliquidens (Pacific white-sided dolphin), 811 nucleotides long. RefSeq lists it as uncharacterized. Lineage: Eukaryota; Metazoa; Chordata; Mammalia; Artiodactyla; Delphinidae. The transcript has 3 exons. The record is from RefSeq and is a predicted model, not a curated record.
UAGUUUUUCUGUGCAGAGUGUACUGUGGAUUAGUUCAUUUUCCACACAUCAUGGUUGAAUCCUAGUCUUAAAAUCCAACCUGUUUUUCUAAGAACUGUGACUUUCCACACGCAUCUUCCUCCCAUCACAAGCACUGCAGCUGGUUUCUCGUUCCCCUGCCCUUUAGCUCCUCGUCCCCCCCCCCCCCCCCCCCCCCCCCCCCCCCGCCCCCACCCACCCAAACGUCUCUUAUUGCGUUGUUGUGCUUAUAGGCCUAGAGAAUGUUAACACCAUGCCGAGAUGUGGAGGCUGGGAGUGGCCAAGCCUGCUAGCUAAUGACCUGAACAUUGCAGCCCGGGGCCCGCGUGUGAGCUUCAGUAAACUGACAAGACUUCACACACUGGACCUCCAGAGUUACUCAGAAACUUCAGAUGAAAUAUGCCAGACUGCUGGUUUAAAACAGAGGGAUUAUUUGGCAUAAUAAUAAGAGAUCAUGCACAUUUGUGAUUAUGCUUCAACCUUUUCUUCAAAGGUGAGAUACCAUCAGAGUGUGUGCUGUUGCAGGAAACAGAAUGGAGAGCCGUGAAUGGGAGUCUCUGCACUUCAUAUCUGCAAAAGAAGAGAAUAAAAAGGUUAACUCUAGACUUAGAACAGAGUAUCUUCAUCUGUUUAAAGCAAUGCCCAUAAACAAUUUAAAUUUAAAAAUGAAAAUGUGCUAAAACAAGAGGUUUGUGGGUGAACUCAACCAUUUAAACUGUAUCUACAGUUUUAGAAGUCAGUAUCUUGACACUUUUAUACCACACCAUCUUGAUAUUAAAGGUUUAAUAAAAAA